Long non-coding RNA from Panicum virgatum (switchgrass), 732 nucleotides. RefSeq lists it as uncharacterized. The transcript has 3 exons. The record is from RefSeq and is a predicted model, not a curated record. NCBI's taxonomy places the organism in Eukaryota, Viridiplantae, Streptophyta, Magnoliopsida, Poales, Poaceae.
CUCUCGGUUCCCUCUCCCUCUCCAUCCCGACGCCAUGGGCGACGUUUGAGCACCUUCCGCUCUCCGGCCGAAUCUGCGAGUUCCCCUCCAUGGAUUUCAAAUCCACUGCACCCAAAGCUCUACCACCUCCCUAGCUUCCUCCUCAACCCCUCAAACCACAGCGACAACCCCACCUCGCCGGGAAUCCCGGAUUCCCCGGCCGCCGGUUGGAGUUUCGCCCAAACUCGACGUCACCGUGGAACUCCAUCGCUCGGCCACCAUUUCUUUCAUCCAAGAGCUCGAAUUGACACAUCCGCAGUUGAGAACGUUGUGUAUGAGGUGAUUGCGGCACCACAUGAGCAGCCGGAGCAAGCCCAGGAGGAGAGGCGUGAGAAACCGGCCCAAGGACCGUCUGACCCCAGCUCUGAGCAGCAGCCCAAAGGACACUCAGACGUAGACUUCUGUCCCUGCUGCGUUAAGUUCAUCCGCCGGGACGCAGAGGGAUGGAAGGUUGUGGAGCCGGAUACUUAGUUAGGGGACUCAUCGGGGUACACUUGUGGGCUGGGUGUACAUCCCGUUUGUUUUUGAUCGGCCGCCCGAUCUAUCCGUGGACUGGUGUGGCCGGUUGGGCAUAGGCAGUGCUAGAAGCAGUGGCAUAGUUGUAGGUCUUUUUUUCUAUUCAAACCUUGGUUCCAGCAAGGUAAAGUGUAUAAAAAUUAUGUAUGUAUUCAAAUUUGGUUUGUAAAACUUAUG